This 501-nucleotide ribosomal RNA is filed under the name uncultured bacterium. RNAcentral describes it as "bacterial SSU rRNA". It matches the Rfam family "Bacterial small subunit ribosomal RNA", at positions 28 to 496 of the family's 1533-position model. The record is from RNAcentral.
GACGAACGCUGGCGGCGUGCUUAACACAUGCAAGUCGAACGGAGAUUAUUAAUGAAGCUUGCGAUUUAAUAAUCUUAGUGGCGGACGGGUGAGUAACGCGUGGGCAACCUACCCAUAAGCGGGGGAUAACAGUUGGAAACGACUGCUAAUACCGCAUAAGCUAUUAAGGUCACAUGACCUUAAUAGUAAAGGUGGCGAUUUUACAUUGCUAUCACUUAUGGAUGGGCCCGCGUCUGAUUAGCUAGUUGGUGGGAUAGCAGCCUACCAAGGCAACGAUCAGUAGCCGGCCUGAGAGGGUGGACGGCCACACUGGGACUGAGACACGGCCCAGACUCCUACGGGAGGCAGCAGUGGGGAAUAUUGCGCAAUGGGGGAAACCCUGACGCAGCGACGCCGCGUGAGCGAAGAAGGCCUUAGGGUCGUAAAGCUCUGUUGUAAGGGACGAAUGUUUAUCUGGCGAACAGUCAGAUAAAGUGACGGUACCUUACCAGCAAGCCCCGG